This 496-nucleotide ribosomal RNA is filed under the name uncultured bacterium. Its description in RNAcentral is "partial 16S ribosomal RNA". It matches the Rfam family "Bacterial small subunit ribosomal RNA", at positions 29 to 507 of the family's 1533-position model. The record is from RNAcentral.
AUGCACGCUGGCGGCGUGCCUAAUCCAUGCCAGUCGAGCGAACAGACGAGGAGCUUGCUCCUCUGACGUUAGCGGCGGACGGGUGAGUAACACGUGGAUAACCUACCUAUAAGACUGGGAUAACUUCGGGAAACCGGAGCUAAUACCGGAUAAUAUAUUGAACCGCAUGGUUCAAUAGUGAAAGACGGUUUUGCUGUCACUUAUAGAUGGAUCCGCGCCGCAUUAGCUAGUUGGUAAGGUAACGGCUUACCAAGGCAACGAUGCGUAGCCGACCUGAGAGGGUGAUCGGCCACACUGGAACUGAGACACGGUCCAGACUCCUACGGGAGGCAGCAGUAGGGAAUCUUCCGCAAUGGGCGAAAGCUUGACGGAGCAACGCCGCGUGAGUGAUGAAGGUCUUCGGAUCGUAAAACUCUGUUAUUAGGGAAGAACAAAUGUGUAAGUAACUAUGCACGUCUUGACGGUACCUAAUCAGAAAGCCACGGCUAACUACGUG